GGGGCUGGUGAUCAGGGAUCCAGUCUGUCUCCUCCUGGGGGCUGGUGAUCAGGGAUCCAGUCUGUCUCCUCCUGGGGGCUGGUGAUCAGGGUUCUGCAGUGUUUAGUUUACAAAAUAAGAGGUCAUUUAUCUCAUGUUGUUCUGCUGGUUGCUAGUAUCAUAUUCAUAUAAAACUCACAUGGAGACAUAAAUAGACUAUAAGGAAAGGAGAGCAUAUAAGCAAGGAUGAACUUUUUUAUUAAAAAUUGGAUUUUGUAUUUGGAUUAACCAGAAAUACUUGCUUCUAAUAUACACACACUCACCCUUUUAGAGCUCCAUGUGUGCGCUUUUGUGCUGUAACAUAUUGGCAGAUAGCAGCAAUGCUGAGGGAGCUGCUGUUGAUCUUCAGAGUCUAGUAGGCACAGGAGGCACUUAUCUCCAGUAGUGCUCAUUCACACUUUCAGGCCCACAGAGACCUCAAGUCUGACAGGUCAGAAACAAAAAAGCACGAUCGAGUCAGUUUGAAGUUUCAAGUUUCAGCAAUUGGGAACAGAUUAAAUCGUUUCACAACAAGCAAGAGCAUAAUCCUUCCUAUGUUCUUCUCAUUCCACAGCAGGCCGAUGAGGUCCUCCGUUCUAAACUGGACAAGUGAAAUGAGCCAAGGUCCUGUCCAGAAGGCCAUUUCUAGUGAGCGGCUUCAGUUGGUCUGUCUGCACAGAGGUGGCCGACGAAUCUGUGGUCAACUCUAGCCACACCCAGGCUGGAAACUGAACAUGUU
RNAcentral lists this long non-coding RNA (757 nucleotides) under Lepisosteus oculatus (spotted gar). RNAcentral describes it as "lncRNA (ENSLOCG00000022542.1)". Lineage: Eukaryota; Metazoa; Chordata; Actinopteri; Semionotiformes; Lepisosteidae. The record is from RNAcentral.